UUUAUUGGAGAGUUUGAUCCUGGCUCAGGAUGAACGCUGGCGGCGUGCCUAAUACAUGCAAGUCGAGCGAAUGGAUUAAGAGCUUGCUCUUAUGAAGUUAGCGGCGGACGGGUGAGUAACACGUGGGUAACCUGCCCAUAAGACUGGGAUAACUCCGGGAAACCGGGGCUAAUACCGGAUAACAUUUUGAACCGCAUGGUUCGAAAUUGAAAGGCGGCUUCGGCUGUCACUUAUGGAUGGACCCGCGUCGCAUUAGCUAGGUGGUGAGGUAACGGCUAACAAAGGCAACGAUGCGUAGCCGACC
RNAcentral lists this ribosomal RNA (304 nucleotides) under Bacillus tropicus. RNAcentral's name for it is "partial 16S ribosomal RNA". It matches the Rfam family "Bacterial small subunit ribosomal RNA", at positions 1 to 292 of the family's 1533-position model. The record is from RNAcentral. Lineage: Bacteria; Bacillati; Bacillota; Bacilli; Caryophanales; Bacillaceae.